Molecule: ribosomal RNA, 393 nt
Filed under: uncultured bacterium
Lineage: Bacteria
Description: partial 16S ribosomal RNA
Rfam family: Bacterial small subunit ribosomal RNA
Source: RNAcentral
AUACGGAGGAUGCGAGCGUUAUCCGGAUUUAUUGGGUUUAAAGGGAGCGUAGGUGGGAUAUUAAGUCAGCUGUGAAAGUUUGGGGCUCAACCUUAAAAUUGCAGUUGAUACUGGUUUCCUUGAGUACGGUACAGGUGGGCGGAAUUCGUGGUGUAGCGGUGAAAUGCUUAGAUAUCACGAAGAGCUCCGAUCGCGAAGGCAGCUCACCGGGCCGGAACUGACACUGAUGCUCGAAAGUGCGGGUAUCAAACAGGAUUAGAUACCCUGGUAGUCCGCACAGUAAACGAUGAAUACUCGCUGUUUGCGAUACACUGUAAGCGGCCAAGCGAAAGCGUUAAGUAUUCCACCUGGGGAGUACGCCGGCAACGGUGAAGCUCAAAGGAAUUGACGGGG